Molecule: small nuclear RNA, 105 nt
Organism: Lagenorhynchus albirostris (white-beaked dolphin)
Lineage: Eukaryota; Metazoa; Chordata; Mammalia; Artiodactyla; Delphinidae
Source: RefSeq, a predicted model, not a curated record
GUGCUCGCUUUGGCAGCACACAUAGUAAAAUUGGAACGAUACAAAAGAUUAGCAUGGCCCCUGCGCAAGGAUGAUAUGCAAAUUCGUGAAGCGUUCCAUAUUUUU